CAGCCCUCGCGCUCCGCGUCCCCUAAUCCCCGCGGCCCCGGCCGCAAUAUGUGGAUCAAUUCCAUCCGACUCGGUGCCUCGCCGCCCGUCAGAAAGGAAAAAUCAGUGCCUCCCGACCCUUCUCUCGCUGGGCACAGCAACCAUGGCGAUGGAUCUGCAGCGUCCGCAGCCGCUCCACCUCGGGUUCCCUGACCCUUCUUCUCUAGGCUGGGCAGAGCAACCAUGGCGGCGGAUCCGCAGCGUCCACGGCCGCUCCACCUCGGGCAGCGCGGAUCACAGCCAGCGGCCCGAUGGAGGCGGGUACCGGCGCGGUUGCUGUUCUGCCCUGCGCUCCCUCCAUGUCUCCUCCUGCGCCUCCGGUGGCCAGACGCUUCUUCGACUCCGGCCUAGGGGCACCCACAUCGUUGGUGGAUUUAUAUUUCUCAGGUCAGACAGUGUGCAGCCACACAUGGUCAACAUCCAGUUUCAGAAGAAUGUACUGCUGCAGCGCAGGCGAAGUCGAAUGACAAGAACCAGCUAGAUGAGGGCAUCCAUUCGAAACACAUAUCUAAUCUUCUAUGUGUGGGAUCCUUUUUCUGAUCUGAAUUUGUUGUUGGGGCGAGCUUGUUACUCUCUACAUGCAUUUCAAGUUGGAUGAGAGCUACACACUGAGCAAGAUCUCCAUCUGGACUGGCGACGGCUUCCACAAUCUCAAGGCAAUUCCUCUUUUCUGAAGAUAGCAGCGAGGUGCCCAGUAAGAGCACACACGUAUCUCUGAAUUAUAAGUUAUGAUCUGUGCUCUAUGGUGAGAGCACAUAUCAAUUGGUUUUGAACAAUACUCAGGAAAAGGAGGACUAUCAGCAUCUUAUGGAUAUUCAUCAAAUAACAGUACAUCAGCCAAUGUGUAUGUGGUGGUCUAAACCAAAUGUUAGGCACAAAAUGAGGAUUAUGUGCACAGUUGGUCCCUCAACUAACACAAGGGAGAUUAUCUAGGAUUUUGCUGAGGAUGACAUCAAUGUGGCUCGGCUAAUAUGUCACAUGGAGACCAUGCAUCGCACCAGAAAAUUAUUGAAUUGGUGAAAGAGUUGAGACCAUGCUUGUAGACUCUUAUGGACGAGUCAAUUUUAUAAGUCUGGCAUGCGCAUGCAAGCACAUGAUUUUGCUCUAUCAAUAAAUAGUGUAAUCAAACCUUUUUAUGCCGACCCUUCUUUCACCAUAUUCCAACUUAUUUGCUCUGAUAUAAGCUAGAUUUAACAUAUUCAGGGCCCAGAAAUUAGUAUUCAAGAUUUGCCUCAUUGAAAACUGGUCAGGAGUUCACGUUCACAAUAAGCAGUGAUCCUUUCUACUACUUGAGGGAUUGAGCAAAGAUUAUCAACGGUACAGUCAAAGAAGCAACGUUGAACAUGAAAAUAAGGCACUCUGCCAGUGUGCGUGCAUGAUCCAAUAGCAUGUGUUUAAUAGUAGCAGCUUCCUCCAUUUAUGCCAGAAUUUGAUAUACUUACCAAAGUUUUAAGGGGGCCAAUCUUAAGAAGACAUCCCAGUUUGUGCGAGAAUUUCAUACGCAUAUUAGACAAAAGAUGUAUCGGGUUUUCCUUAGGUUGCAUUGCAACACUUCAGUGUCUACUCUUGGUUCUUUUACCAUAAAAUUUGUAAGGUCCCUUAUGUUUGAUUUAUUGUAUAAAUCAUUUGAGACAUGCCCUAAGUAAAACCACAACGUGAUAU
Molecule: long non-coding RNA, 1701 nt
Organism: Triticum aestivum (bread wheat)
Lineage: Eukaryota; Viridiplantae; Streptophyta; Magnoliopsida; Poales; Poaceae
Exons: 5
Source: RefSeq, a predicted model, not a curated record